CGCUGUAAACGAUGAGUAUUAAACGGUGGCGAAGUCACUGUUGUAGCUAACGCAAUAAAUACUCCGCCUGGGGAGUACGGUCGCAAGACUAAAACUCAAAGGAAUUGACGGGGACUCGCACAAGCGGUGGAGCAUGUUGUUUAAUUCGAGGAUACGCGAAAAACCUUACCAGGUCUUGACAUAUUGGUGAAAUAGUUAGAGAUAACUAUGCUUUUUAGCACCUUUACAGGUGGUGCAUGGCUGUCGUCAG
This 250-nucleotide ribosomal RNA is filed under the name uncultured bacterium. RNAcentral describes it as "partial 16S ribosomal RNA". It matches the Rfam family "Bacterial small subunit ribosomal RNA", at positions 798 to 1058 of the family's 1533-position model. The record is from RNAcentral.